GAAAUGCGAUAAGUAAUGUGAAUUGCAGAAUUCAGUGAAUCAUCGAAUCUUUGAACGCACAUUGCGCCCGCCAGCACUCUGGCGGGCAAGCCUGUUCGAGCGUCAUUUCAACCCUCAGAACCCCUUGCGGGAUCUGGCGUUGGGGAUUGGCAUCCAGCCAGCCCCGAAAUCUAGUGGCGGUCCCUCCGCGACCUCCCCUGUGCAGUAGCGAUACCUCGCAGCGGGACAGCGGUCUGACCACGCCGUAAAACCCCCAACUUCUCAAGGUUGACCUCGAAUCAGGUAGGAAUACCCGCUGAACUUAAGC
This 307-nucleotide unclassified non-coding RNA is filed under the name plant metagenome. RNAcentral's name for it is "partial contains 5.8S ribosomal RNA, internal transcribed spacer 2, and large subunit ribosomal RNA". The stretch from base 1 to 105 matches the Rfam family "5.8S ribosomal RNA", at positions 50 to 154 of the family's 154-position model. The record is from RNAcentral.